Molecule: non-coding RNA, 22 nt
Organism: Drosophila melanogaster (fruit fly)
Lineage: Eukaryota; Metazoa; Arthropoda; Insecta; Diptera; Drosophilidae
Source: Ensembl
AAAUUGACUCUAGUAGGGAGUC